UACGGAGGGUGCAAGCGUUGUCCGGAAUCACUGGGCGUAAAGGGCGCGUAGGCGGCCUGGUAAGUAGGGGGUGAAAUCCUGCGGCUUAACCGCAGGGCUGCCUUCUAAACUGUCAGGCUUGAGCACGGUAGAGGCAGAUGGAAUUCCCGGUGUAGUGGUGGAAUGCGUAGAGAUCGGGAAGAACAUCAGUGGCGAAGGCGGUCUGCUGGGCCGUUGCUGACGCUGAGGCGCGACAGCGUGGGGAGCAAACAGG
RNAcentral lists this ribosomal RNA (253 nucleotides) under uncultured bacterium. RNAcentral describes it as "partial 16S ribosomal RNA". It matches the Rfam family "Bacterial small subunit ribosomal RNA", at positions 524 to 776 of the family's 1533-position model. The record is from RNAcentral.